GACGAACGCUGGCGGCGUGCUUAACACAUGCAAGUCGAACGGAAAGGCCCUGCUUUUGUGGGGUGCUCGAGUGGCGAACGGGUGAGUAACACGUGAGUAACCUGCCCUUGACUUUGGGAUAACUUCAGGAAACUGGGGCUAAUACCGGAUAGGAGCUCAUGCUGCAUGGUGGGGGUUGGAAAGUUUCGGCGGUUGGGGAUGGACUCGCGGCUUAUCAGCUUGUUGGUGGGGUAGUGGCUUACCAAGGCUUUGACGGGUAGCCGGCCUGAGAGGGUGACCGGCCACAUUGGGACUGAGAGAGGGCCCAGACUCCUACGGGAGGCAGCAGGGGGGAAUAUUGCACAAUGGGCGGAAGCCUGAGGCAGCAACGCCGCGUGCGGGAUGACGGCCUGCGGGGUGUAAACCGCUUUCGCCUGUGACGAAGCUGGAGUGACGGUAAUGGGUAAAUAAGCACCGGCUAACUACGUG
RNAcentral lists this ribosomal RNA (468 nucleotides) under uncultured bacterium. Its description in RNAcentral is "partial 16S ribosomal RNA". It matches the Rfam family "Bacterial small subunit ribosomal RNA", at positions 28 to 507 of the family's 1533-position model. The record is from RNAcentral.